Long non-coding RNA from Lathyrus oleraceus (garden pea), 2550 nucleotides. RefSeq lists it as uncharacterized. The record is from RefSeq and is a predicted model, not a curated record. NCBI's taxonomy places the organism in Eukaryota, Viridiplantae, Streptophyta, Magnoliopsida, Fabales, Fabaceae. The transcript has 3 exons.
AUCCCUUUGCUUUAAUUUCUUUGAUCCAACUGUGGAUAACUUGUUAUUGAACCAAACUGAUUUGGACUGUUGCUUAACUUCCUGAACUGCAUAUUAUUUUGAAACUCAUUGAUUUGAACUGAACUGCAUUGGCUUGUUGUGACUUGCUUAGAUAUUUUCUAUGGUGCAGGAUUCGUGUUCAGUUUGGUGUAGUGUCAAGGUUAAUAUACAUUGUAUCAACACAAGCAAAUUCAUUGCAAGCCCCCGUCGGUUGCCGUUAUUGCUCGGUGCUAAGUUUAGCGUCUUGAUGCAAGCUUCGCCCUGUCGCAGUGCAGGAUUGUUAUGCUACUAGAUCCGGAGCUAGCCUUAGACAGACGUUGCCGUUUGUGCUGAAAACCGAUUCGUAAGGCCUCGUUUGAGCACGGCUGCAGGUUUGAUCCCUCUUGCACCGCCUCGGAUUGUUGUAGCAUUAUUGUGGGGUGUGUAUGCUGCCGGUAAUGGAAUGGUACGUUUUAUUCAGCAGGGUGUUCAAUCCAUGUUGGUGUCCUUGUACUGAUUUAGCUCUGGUGCAAGCGACAAUCACAAGAUUCCGCAGUAGACUUGAUGGAAAGGUUUGUGUGCUUUCUUCUUGACCCUGUUCUGCCUUGGCUUACUGCAGGAUUUCACUUGGCUUGAUUGGGAUGCUUUUGUGAGCUGAAUUACCUGCUGCCAGUAAAAUGUCAACAUGACGAAGCUAUUAUCCCACACCUGCACAUAGGUAAGAGAAUUUGCCGUAGAUUCACAUGGUUGGUAUUUUAGCUUAUGUUUCUGAUUGAUUACUUCAGGUUGUGAUGCUACUAUGCAUGUUGAACGCCAACUUAUGAUGAUUCUGAGUUGAUGAUCUUCUACAAGGUCUCUAUUACUCUGUCUUCUGCCAACAGGUCCUGUAAUGGACUUUUCUUGCUCUUCAUAUUCUGAGAAGUUUGAGAAUUAACAGGAUAUUCUGUAGUGUCUCCCGCGUGACUUUCACCAGAUACCUUAACCAAGUCUGGAUAUGAUACCACCCCAGCCCAGGGCGUUGCCAAACUCACGGAAUUGACAGAAGCAGCAACAUCAGAUACAAGUGUUUCUGUCUGUGCCUUUCUCUGUUCUUCCAGCUGAAUUUCUAAUAAAGACUUGGCCUUGACACUUGGAGCAGGUUUCCAAGCCUGUCCAGCAGCAACUUCAGCAUUGUGAGUAGAAACAGAACCAACUGCCACAGAAUCGCCUGAAAGGAUUGUUUCGAUAUGUUUCAUGUGAUCCACCGUUAUUUGGAAUGUGCUUAAUUGUUUGCGAGCUCGUAAUUUGCCAUCUGCAUUUUGAUUGUCCAGGUCUCAUGUUUCGCGUUUCGCACAUGCAUUCCCAUCGGCCGUUACUAUCGUGGUUUGAGUUACAUGCUGCUCAACUGGUUUAACUCCCACAUCUGUACCCACCUGUCCAGCCAGUAGCGAUGCAGCCGAAGACACUACAAUAACAAGUGCAACAUGCUGUGCCGGUUUGGUAUGCUCACCAGACUCGGAAACUGCGUUCAAAAGAGUACCACCAGCGCUGUUAUUGUUAUCCGACAUCAGCAGAAAAAGGUUUAGGUGCGAUAUUAGGCUCUUCUGUGGUCCUAUUCUGCUCAUGUAACAGGAAUCUUUCAACAGAAGCUAAUGCGGGCAAUGUUUUCUUCUGGGUGGAAAUGAUUCUGCAGGUUACCGCUGCUGUUUGGUUGCAGGUCUACUUGCGGAACAUUCCGUGAAUGAGUUCAGUAUCAGUUCAUGUCGGUUUCUUGUAUCAUGGCCAUGGUUCAAUUCUGAUUUGUUACUAUUUGUCAUGCCGGUCAUGGUGGUAUGGAGGAGCAAACAUGGCUAAGUAAAGGGUUGGACCUGGCACGGCAUAACAGUGGAAUUUUUGAAGUCACAAAAGUCAAACCAAGGAUCCACAUAGGGCUGAGACAUAGGGUUAGGAUCAGAGAUUAUGGACUUAGGAUUUUUUGGGAUGGGGUUGACUUUGGUCAAAGUUGACCAAAAAGUCAACCGUUGACCAAGGUCAACCUUGGUCAACACCUCACAUUUUGUGUUUAUCUUGUUUUCUUUUUUUUGUAAUGAAUAUUUUAUCCUUUGUAAUGGAAAUUGAUAUUCAUGAAUGGAGUGAGCUUGGAUAUGGAAUCUUGUAUGAGAAUCAUUGUAUGGACAUGCUUGAGAAAAAGAUUGAAAUAAAUGACUUUGUGGAUCUGAACAUGAUCCUUGCAUUCACUUGAACUUUUAAACGAAUAGGUUUGACCUGGACUCCCAUGAUAGCUUGAAUGACGAUGUACCAGCCGAACUAGGCUUAGGAGGCUAUAAUAUAGGAGUUCGACCUGAUUAGGGUAUGGAACCAUGACCAAGUAAAGGCCUUUAAAUCAGUGUCUUGAUCCCUCCAGUAACCACCAUUGACACCAGAUUUAAGCAUCAUACCCAAACAUCUCCACGCUAGGCUUCGAUUGGGGCCACCCCGAAUUCACUGAGAAAUCCUAGUUUCCACUAGGUGUAAACAUAAAGCUCUGAAUUCAAGUCACUGCCAUCUUGUGUU